Molecule: transfer RNA, 75 nt
Filed under: Planctomycetota bacterium
Lineage: Bacteria; Pseudomonadati; Planctomycetota
Description: Planctomycetes bacterium (sediment metagenome) tRNA-Gly
Rfam family: tRNA
About the family: Transfer RNA (tRNA) molecules are approximately 80 nucleotides in length.
Source: RNAcentral
GCGGGUGUAGCUCAGUGGUAGAGCGCCACCUUGCCAAGGUGGAUGUCGAGGGUUCAAGUCCCCUCACCCGCUCCA